Molecule: RNA transcript, 3818 nt
Organism: Sorghum bicolor (sorghum)
Lineage: Eukaryota; Viridiplantae; Streptophyta; Magnoliopsida; Poales; Poaceae
Gene name: disease resistance protein RPP13
Exons: 4
Source: RefSeq, a predicted model, not a curated record
UCGAGGAUAAGCACGCUCCAUUAUUUAGCAAGGCUGCCUUCUUAUCCUUGUCCACCAUAGGCACGGCACCGACACUCUGCUGAGCGGGCAAGAGAUGAUGGAGGCUACGGGUGUCAUGGACUCCCUCCUGAAGAAACUUGGCGAUCUCCUCGCUGAGGAGUACACUCGCCUGAAAGGAGUCCGCCGCGAGAUCCGCUUCCUCCGGUCUGAGCUAAACAGCAUGAAUGCCGUUCUCCAAAAGUGUGCUGCAAUGGAGAGCCCAGACGUGCAAGUGAAGGCCUGGACAAGAGAGCUGAGGGAGCUCGCCUACGACAUCGAAGACUGCGUGGACGAGUUCGUCCGCGGAGUUGACACCAAGCGUCAGCGUCAGCGUCACGGUCGUCCAAGCUGCAUCAAGGAGUGCGCUCGGCGUCUCAAGGCGCUGGUGACGAGGCACGAGAUCGCCAACCAAAUCCAACAACUCAAGGCGCGUGUGGUGGAGGUGGCGGAGCAGCGCGUGAGGUACAAGCUCGAUCAAGUUUCCAGCAGCAGUCCCUGCAGCAGCAUUCGAGCCACGGAUCCUCGACUGUGGGCUCUGUUCCCAGAGGAGUCUCAGCUUGUGGGCAUCGAUGGCCCAAGGGAUGACCUUGCGAGCUGGCUCCUGAUGGAGGAUGACGACCUUGCUGGUCGUCGUCGCAAGGUGCUGUCCAUCUAUGGCUUUGGUGGUUUGGGAAAAACCACGCUUGCCAACGAGGUCCGGCGUAAGAUUGGGAAGCAAUUCGACUGUGAGGCGGUUGUGCCGGUCUCGCAAAAGCCCGAUGACAAGAAAAUCCUCUGGAAUAUACUCACUCGCGUAGACAAGAACCGUACUCUUGUCCAUGAAAGAGAGAUAUGGGACGAGCAAAGGAUUAUAGAAGAAAUAAGAGACCUACUGGAACAUAAGAGGUACUUUAUCAUAAUUGACGACAUAUGGUCUGAACGAGAUUGGAAUUUGCUGAAGUGUGCUCUGCCAGAGAACAAUAUGGGUAGUAGAAUAAUUACUACAACACGUAUCGAGUCUAUAGCAAAGGCAUGUUGCAGUCUUCCCGGUGACCGUUGCUACAAAAUUGAAGCACUGAGUGAGUCCCACUCAAGAAGCCUACUUUUUAAAAAAGUAUUUGGCUCUGAGGAUGGAUGCCCUGACAGAAUUAAGCAUAUUUCAGCUGAUAUACUAAGAAAAUGCAGUGGCCUCCCCCUGGCUAUAGUUUGCAUAGCUAGCUUAUUGGCUAGCAAGCCCAAUAUGAUCGAGCAAUGGGAAAAAGUGAGGGCAUCUACAGGAUAUGCAUUGCAAAUAAAACAAGAUCCUGGGGGUAUGGAAUCUAUAUUGUCACUCAGCUAUAGUGAUCUUCCGCAGCAUCUCAAAACUUGCUUACUCUAUUUGAGUGUAUUUCCUGAGGAUUAUGACAUUGAAAGAGGUAGUUUACUGAGAAGAUGGAUAGCUGAAGGAUUCAUAAAGGAGGAAGGGGGGUUAAUUGCAGAGGAUGUUGCUGAAAGCUACUUCAAUGAGCUCAUCAAUAGGAGUAUGAUUAUACCUGUUGACAUUGACCGUUCUGGAAAGGUGCGAGUUUGUCGUCUGCACGAUAUGAUGCUAGAACUACUGAAAUCAAGGGCAACAGAGGAGAAUUUUGUUACAAUCAUGGGUCCAGGCCCGCUUUCAACAAACCCAGAAGGUGUUAUCCGACGGCUAUCAAUUCAAUACAAUGAUCGAGAGCAGAAGUUGGAACCCCAAGAAAUGCCAUCGUUAACCCAUGUUAGAUCAUUCAGCACCUUUGGUGGCUCUUACAACCAGACACUACCAUUUGCUUAUUUUAGAGUUUUACGUGUCUUGAGUCUCGAUUGUCAGUUGAGUGGGGCGGAUGAUUUGAAGAUUAUUUGCAAACUACAUCAGCUGAAGUAUUUGAGACUGAAUGUACAUGAACUUCCUGCAGAAAUUGGAGAGCUGCGGUAUCUUGAGACACUAGAAUUGUGUUCUUACCGAGGGGUAAACUUGCUGCCCCAUGGUGUUACUCGGUUACAGCAUCUAAGGCAUCUUAUUGUGAACUGGAUGAUGUUGUUACCAGAAGCCAUUGGGAGCAUGCAAGCACUUCAGACACUACCACAUUUCAAUGUCCGUGACAGCCCAGUAAGUGCAGUGCAGGAGCUUGGCAAUUUGAAAAACUUGAGAGAUCUCUCGAUAUCAUGGAAUGAGCCAGCAGAAGGAAGGUGCAAGGAGUACUUGGCCUCUUCUCUCAACAAAUUGAGCAGUUACAACCUCCAGUCACUGAAUAUUGUUAGCGGACAAGCUAUUCCAGUUGAUUUUCUAGCAUCAUUAUCACCCCCACCGUACCUCCUUAAAAGAUUCUGGAUGUGGAACUCUUACUUUCAGCGCUGUCCCAAGUGGAUUGGACCACUCAAUAGGCUCACUGAGAUGAAACUUGAUGUCUGCGAGAUGGAGGACGAAGAUUUGGAUUUGCUCGGACAUCUACCGGCUUUGGUUCAUUUCCAACUUUGGGUGGUUCCUCUUCGUAAGGAGAAGAUUAUCAUUAAGAGAAAUGGUUUCCGUAGUCUUAAUGCUUUCCGCCUCUGGUCAGGGCUGCCAUGCUUAGUUUUCCAAGAGAAGUCAAUGCCAAGGCUCGAAACCCUCGAGUUGAUGUUCAGUGCUUGUGGGGCAAAAUCAUAUGGAAGCACACAUUCUGGUAUUGAGCACCUUCACGAUCUAAAAAAUGUCAAUGUUACAAUAUAUACAGACGGUGCCAGACAAUCAAACAUUGAGGCUGCAUGUCAUAUGAUCCGUCAACAAAUUGCUAAGCACCCGAAUAAUGUCAGGGGCAAUAUUACUUAUAGUAGUGGCUACAUCGGGGGUGUAAUGAACGAUGGCAGUGUUGACGAGGAGGCCAUUGUACUGGGUUCUGAGGGCAGCAAAUAGUGAGCUCUGUUUAUUCUUAUCCGUACUGCACAACCACUAACUCAUACAUCAAGUGGAGGAUCGUAGCCGUAGUGGAAAACUACUGUAAAAGGUCGUUUAAUUGGGCACCAGGCUGCAAGAGUUCAGCAUGAUACUGAUCUCCAGGGCCGGUAUUGAUUGUGGUGACUUCAACCAAUUAAUCUACCACGCCGCUGAUAAGAACAACUCUCGCCUUAACCUCCACUCCAUGAGAAGGUUUCGGCACCUGAUUGAUGAUUGUCAACUGCAGGAGCUUUAUUUACUCGGGAGGCUGUAUACCUUUGAGCAGUGUAUUGGAGACCUACGCUUCAGCGUAUUGACCACGCGUUCGCGUCAAUCGAGUGGCUUGAGGCCUUCCCCAGACAUCACUUGCUCGGAUCAUGCACACCGCUGCUGCUACAGCUAUAUAUGUACCCAAGCCAAACCCUGUUUCCACUUUGAAUCCUUCUGGGUGCGCCUCGACGGCCACCUGCCUGGUGCUGAUGCCUGAGGCCCUCGACCAUAAACUGAAGAGAUUGACGAAGUUGCUGCCCAGCUGGAGCAUGAAGAACAUCGGAAGUGUGCGCUCCCAGCUCUUCAUAUUGUUCACUGCAAUGUUAAGAAAGAUUAAUAAGCUCACAUCUACAAAAUGAUUAAUAGCUAGAUGCACGUCCUCCUUUUUCCCUAUGGUUGUCUUGUGAAAGCCCUCUAUAAAAAAGAAAAAGAUUGAGGGGCCAAACCGUUACGAACCACAGUUGAAAAUCGAUUUUGAUAGGUGAUUAUUACAAAGGUGGGCUCCAUUUCUAGACACGGGCCACACAAAUUACAAACUGGGAUUUAAAUAGCCAUUUCUAUCGUCAGUUUGUAAUGAGUCCUAUCUUUAGAAAUAGGGAACGUA